UGUUUAUGUAUAUGAGCGAACAGUGAUAUACACUCUAUAUAAAACAUAUAUAAAACAGCAAAAAGGUGACUGAUGUUCACUUGUAGUCAUGUACUAUUUAAUCAGGAAGUAGUACAAAGUCGUGAUAGUGAAUCGCACUGAUUGAGGCGGAUUGAUCUCGAACUCACGUGGAGAGUUUAUUUGCAUAUCAAAUUCGUUAAUGAAUCAGCAGGGGAGAUACAGCUCUGAAUAGACUGUGAUCCAGGCUGUGUUCAUUAAUACAGGGUGGAAGAUUGUGCUACACAAACUGUCAAUGGAGCGUGAAAUUCGGCCAGCCAUGCAUUAUGGAUGGGGCAAAGUCCACCUUAUUUUUAGAUCGCAGCUCUCAUGGAGCUGCAGUACAGUGCAUUGUGUGCU
This is a long non-coding RNA of Puntigrus tetrazona (Sumatra barb), 396 nucleotides long. RefSeq lists it as uncharacterized. The transcript has 3 exons. Lineage: Eukaryota; Metazoa; Chordata; Actinopteri; Cypriniformes; Cyprinidae. The record is from RefSeq and is a predicted model, not a curated record.